Molecule: ribosomal RNA, 830 nt
Filed under: uncultured bacterium
Lineage: Bacteria
Description: bacterial SSU rRNA
Rfam family: Bacterial small subunit ribosomal RNA
Source: RNAcentral
AGAGUUUGAUCAUGGCUCAGAUUGAACGCUGGCGGCAUGCCUUACACAUGCAAGUCGAACGGCAGCACGGGAGUAAUCCUGGUGGCGAGUGGCGAACGGGUGAGUAAUACAUCGGAACGUGCCCAGUCGUGGGGGAUAACGCAGCGAAAGCUGUGCUAAUACCGCAUACGAUCUCUGGAUGAAAGCGGGGGACUCGCAAGAGCCUCGCGCGAUUGGAGCGGCCGAUAUCAGAUUAGCUAGUUGGUGGGGUAAAAGCCCACCAAGGCGACGAUCUGUAGCUGGUCUGAGAGGACGACCAGCCACACUGGAACUGAGACACGGUCCAGACUCCUACGGGAGGCAGCAGUGGGGAAUUUUGGACAAUGGGCGCAAGCCUGAUCCAGCAAUGCCGCGUGCAGGAUGAAGGCCUUCGGGUUGUAAACUGCUUUUGUACGGAACGAAACGGCUCUUUCUAAUAAAGAGGGCUAAUGACGGUACCGUAAGAAUAAGCACCGGCUAACUACGUGCCAGCAGCCGCGGUAAUACGUAGGGUGCGAGCGUUAAUCGGAAUUACUGGGCGUAAAGCGUGCGCAGGCGGUGAUGUAAGACAGAUGUGAAAUCCCCGGGCUCAACCUGGGACCUGCAUUUGUGACUGCAUCGCUAGAGUACGGUAGAGGGGGAUGGAAUUCCGCGUGUAGCAGUGAAAUGCGUAGAUAUGCGGAGGAACACCGAUGGCGAACAAUCCCCUGGACCUGUACUGACGCUCAUGCACGAAAGCGUGGGGAGCAAACAGGAUUAGAUACCCUGGUAGUCCACGCCCUAAACGAUGUCAACUGGUUGUUGGGUCUUUA